AACGAACGCUGGCGGCGUGCCUAAUACAUGCAAGUAGAACGCUGAAGGAGGAGCUUGCUCUUCUGGAUGAGUUGCGAACGGGUGAGUAACGCGAAGGUAACCUGCCUUGUAGCGGGGGAUAACUAUUGGAAACGAUAGCUAAUACCGCAUAAAAUUGAUUAUUCCAUGAUAGUCAAGUAAAAUGUGCAAUUUCCUCACUACCAGAUGGACCUGCGUUGUAUUAGCUAGUUGGUGAGGUAACGGCUCACCAAGGCAACGAUACAUAGCCGACCUGAGAGGGUGAUCGGCCAAACUGGGAAUGGGACACGGCCCAGACUCCUACGGGAGGCAGCAGUAGGGAAUCUUCGGCAAUGGACGGAAGUCUGACCGAGCAACGCCGCGUGAGUGAAGAAGGGUUUCGGAUCGUAAAGCUCUGUUGUAAGAGAAGAACGAGUGUGAGAGUGGAAAGUUCAUACUGUGACGGUAUCUUAACAGAAAGGGACGGCUAACUACGUG
This 495-nucleotide ribosomal RNA is filed under the name uncultured bacterium. RNAcentral's name for it is "partial 16S ribosomal RNA". It matches the Rfam family "Bacterial small subunit ribosomal RNA", at positions 29 to 507 of the family's 1533-position model. The record is from RNAcentral.